AGAUGCACUGCAUCCCAUCUCACUUAUUCUCUCGCUCCAUCUUUCCUUCUCAUCCCAAACGCCGCAGCCAGUGUGAAGCCUCCAAAGUCGCUGGCGCCCCCACGUUCCACCGGAGCGAGGCGCCGCCGCCGGAUCUCGUCCCCUCCCCCUCCCCCUUUGUGUGUCUCUCGCUCUUAUUUUCUCAUCUCGGUCUAAUCUAAUUCUAUUAUAUGCAUGCAGGCCGAUGUGAAGCCAAGUCGCUGGAGCAGAGAUCUGGAGCGCCUCGCCAGAUCUCUCCUCUGCACCCCUGCCAGCCGCGUCAGGCUCCGCCUCGCUACUGGCGGUCUCUCCCCGGCAAGCCCAUCGGUCGGUGAGAGUAGCUCACUCUCGAUCCCCUUGUGCUCGCGCGCCACCAGGGGAGGAUGAACCCCUUGCACCCGCG
This 421-nucleotide ribosomal RNA is filed under the name Triticum aestivum (bread wheat). RNAcentral's name for it is "partial small subunit ribosomal RNA". The record is from RNAcentral. Lineage: Eukaryota; Viridiplantae; Streptophyta; Magnoliopsida; Poales; Poaceae.